AAAAGCCUGUUUGGUUGUGUCUGUCUGUAGGAUCGGGAUUCUUACGAGUCUAGUUGUUUGAGAGUACAACUUAAAGCUGGUGGUAAAUUUCAUCAAAGGCUGAAUAUAUGAAGGGACUAAUAGCGAACAAGUACCAUGAGGGAAAGUUGAAAAGAACUCUGACGAGAGAGUUCAACAGUGCGUGAAACCAUAUUGAGUAAAACAGAUAACUGUGUCGUUCUGCGGUGUGUCUCUCAACAGUAGCUCGGGCAUUGCGAUGCGGUGAGUGUGAGCUGAUUCUUCAGACGAUCGCUCGCUGUCAGCAAAGCUCGAAAUUCUGUGUACUAGUGCACACCCAAUCAUUGAGAAACUAUGCUACUGCGACAUCGGUGCACAACAGCCCGCGCCUCGCGCGAAGUUGUAUACUGGGUUCUGCUGGUGGUGUAGUUUAGCUGUGUGACAGCUGUGGGAUGCGGUCACUGAAUGUGCCUGCCUUGUCUGCGAAUCGGUUUAUUCCCUUUUGCGGUGAGUAUGGUACAGUAGGUGAGCGUUCCGCCAUCAAUGGUUGACAUUAGUUAUUUGACCCGUCUUGAAACACGGACCAAGGAGUUCAAAUGGCACGCGAGUCAUUGGGUCUUAUCACCCAUAGGCGAAGUGAAAUGCAAACGUAUCGUUACUCGUAGAA
Molecule: ribosomal RNA, 664 nt
Filed under: Neoseiulus longispinosus
Lineage: Eukaryota; Metazoa; Arthropoda; Arachnida; Mesostigmata; Phytoseiidae
Description: partial 28S ribosomal RNA
Rfam family: Eukaryotic large subunit ribosomal RNA
Source: RNAcentral